This 422-nucleotide ribosomal RNA is filed under the name uncultured bacterium. RNAcentral describes it as "bacterial SSU rRNA". It matches the Rfam family "Bacterial small subunit ribosomal RNA", at positions 355 to 774 of the family's 1533-position model. The record is from RNAcentral.
UAAGGAAUAUUGGACAAUGGACGCAAGUCUGAUCCAGCCAUGCCGCGUGAAGGAUGAAUGCCCUCUGGGUUGUAAACUUCUUUUAUAGGGGAAGAAAGAUACUUUUUUUAAGGUAGUUGACGGUACCCUAUGAAUAAGCACCGGCUAACUCCGUGCCAGCAGCCGCGGUAAUACGGAGGGUGCAAGCGUUAUCCGGAUUUACUGGGUUUAAAGGGUGCGUAGGCGGGCAUGUAAGUCAGUGGUGAAAUACCGGAGCUUAACUUCGGAACUGCCAUUGAAACUAUAUGUCUUGAAUAUUGUGGAGGUAAGCGGAAUAUGUCAUGUAGCGGUGAAAUGCAUAGAUAUGACAUAGAACACCGAUUGCGGAGGCAGCUUGCUACGCAAAUAUUGACGCUGAGGCACGAAAGCGUGGGGAUCAAACA